This 71-nucleotide transfer RNA is filed under the name Cepphus grylle. It matches the Rfam family "tRNA". From Rfam's summary of the family: Transfer RNA (tRNA) molecules are approximately 80 nucleotides in length. Their secondary structure includes four short double-helical elements and three loops (D, anti-codon, and T loops). Further hydrogen bonds mediate the characteristic L-shaped molecular structure. tRNAs have two regions of fundamental functional importance: the anti-codon, which is responsible for specific mRNA codon recognition, and the 3' end, to which the tRNAs corresponding amino acid is attached (by aminoacyl-tRNA synthetases). tRNAs cope with the degeneracy of the genetic code in two manners: having more than one tRNA (with a specific anti-codon) for a particular amino acid; and 'wobble' base-pairing, i.e. permitting non-standard base-pairing at the 3rd anti-codon position. RNAcentral also lists the same sequence under 1 other name. Lineage: Eukaryota; Metazoa; Chordata; Aves; Charadriiformes; Alcidae. The record is from Rfam by way of RNAcentral.
GUCUCCGUAGCUUAACAAUCAAAGCAUGGCACUGAAGAUGCCAAGAUGGCCGCCACAUGUACCCGAAGACA